This is a long non-coding RNA of Cryptomeria japonica (Japanese cedar), 1503 nucleotides long. RefSeq lists it as uncharacterized. The record is from RefSeq and is a predicted model, not a curated record. NCBI's taxonomy places the organism in Eukaryota, Viridiplantae, Streptophyta, Pinopsida, Cupressales, Cupressaceae. The transcript is spliced from 4 exons.
UAGAACCUGAUAUGGUUGUGUGGAUGGGUUUGCUUGGUGCUUGUAGGUCACAUAAGAAUAUGAGGCUAGGAGAAUUUGUGACAAGAGUCCUUCUUGAGUUGGAUCCUGGAAACGCUGCACAUUAUGUUCUUCUGUCCAACAUAUAUGCAGACGCUGGCAUGUGGGGUAAUGUUCAAAAGGUAAGGGUAUUGAUGAAAGAUAGAGGAAUUAAAAAGAUACCUGGGUGUAGUUGGAUUGAAGUCCAUAAAACAAUACAUAGUUUUUGUGUAUGAGAGCGCAUCAAAAAACACAUGAGAUCUAUAUAAAAAGUUGUAAUAUCAUCUUGGGAGAUGAAGGUAUCAGGGUCUAUUCCAAAUACAAGAUUUGUAUUGCAAGAUGUGGAGGAGAAGGAAUUGCUUCUCAGAAACCAUAGUGAGAAGUUGACAAUUGCACUUGGAUUGUGUCUCGUGGAACAAUUAUUAGCUUGUCAAGAAUCUUCAAGCAUGGGGUAACUUACACACUGCAACCAAGUUUAUCUCACAAGAUUAUUACAAGAGAAAUUGCUGUCAUCGAUGUGGAACUUUUCCAUCAUUUCACAAACUGAAAUUGUUCUGAGGAGAUUGCUAGGGAUGCUAAGUGAAGCCAGCUGUAAGCAUGGUCUUGCACUAUUACAAGGUUUUAAUGCAGCCAGGGAAAGCUUUAACAGUGUCUCUGUCUGGGUUUAGGCUUCCAGGACUUCCUUAGGAAUACUGCGAUGAAGAGAUCAUAUGAGGAAAUGCCAACUCUCUUGGUCAGUUUUUAUCAAUUGAUGAAGUCAUGAAAUCUAUGAAACAAUCGAUUUUUGUCAGAUUUUGCAUAAGUGUUGAUAUUGAUAAGGUGCUGCCAAAUGCCAUAAAAUUGUGUCCCAAACUUGUGGUUUGGGAACAGAGAAUUCAUUAGGAGUCUUCACAGAUUGUUGAAGGUGUUUCAAAGAUCAAAUAAGCACCCUGCUAUGAGGAUAGAAGGGAGGGAUUUAGGCACCACUGUGGUCCUUAGGGAAUACGUGAGGGUUUCCCGUUAGGGACACAGGUAAAGCUUUGUCUCCGCUUCAAAGUUCAUUGAGCUCUAGACUAUAUAUCUGGGAAGAGGCAGAAGUACAGGAAAUAUGAAAGCAGAAAGCAGAAAGCUGUUAAGUCAAAAGGAAAUAUUAGAGAAGGGCCUCCAAUGAAGCCAAUGCUUAGAUAUGAUGAGCAGAGCAACAGCAUCUCUAGUUGAUUUUAUAUGUCACGUUGUAUGGCACAUUUCUGGAUUAAUUCUAAUAUCUUGUGCCUCUCUCUGGAAUGAAGUUGUCUUAAAUUAUAUGCUCCAAAAUACACAUGCAAAUUUAAAUUUGUCCUGGUGGAUUUCUGUCGGUUAUGAUUGUGGAAUACCGAGGACAUUUGAUUGGUUUAACUUCUAAAGACCGGUGUUCAAAUGUGGUUAUUUUAUUUCCUUAGUGAAGAAUAUAUAUAUAUAUAUAUAGAUGAGAAGUAGACUUACAUUUUU